CAGCAGCCGCGGUAAUACGAAGGGUGCAAGCGUUACUCGGAAUUACUGGGCGUAAAGCGUGCGUAGGUGGUGGUUUAAGUCCGUUGUGAAAGCCCUGGGCUCAACCUGGGAAUGGCAAUGGAUACUGGCAAGCUAGAGUGUGUCAGAGGAUGGUGGAAUUCCCGGUGUAGCGGUGAAAUGCGUAGAGAUCGGGAGGAACAUCAGUGGCGAAGGCGGCCAUCUGGGACAACACUGACGCUGAGGCACGAAAGCGUGGGGAGCAAACAGGAUUAGAUACCCGCGUAGUCCCUGUCUCUUAUAC
Molecule: ribosomal RNA, 301 nt
Filed under: uncultured bacterium
Lineage: Bacteria
Description: partial 16S ribosomal RNA
Rfam family: Bacterial small subunit ribosomal RNA
Source: RNAcentral